CAUUUAACAUUGAGUAGCAAAGGAUCAACAUUUGUUCCCCAUAUAUACCCCCUUCACAACCACUGAAGCUUCUGGAGAGUAAAUUGAGAUUUUAGGGUUUCUGCAAAACCAGCAGAACAACAUAACCAAGAAAGAUGAUUUACGACGUGAAUUCAACUCUCUUCAGAUCCUUCCUCAGCCAGAAAGGAGGAGCGGAUAAAAGGAGAAUGGAAGACCAGCCUAAACAGCAGAGACCAAAGGCCAAUGAGAACAAGCCUGUGAUGAAUGAGUAAUGAACAAGUAGUAACAAGUACAGAAGUAUGGGAUACACAUGAAGGAUGUACUAGUUUUUUUUUCCCUUCUUUUUGGAUUCUACAAUAGCUAAAACAGUAUCUAUUUUGUGUCUGGAUUUUUAUGUUGGUGUUUUGUUAUAGACCCUCUCAGGAUUCAUGGCCUUAAAAGUGAAUGCUUGGUUUUCAGCUUGAAUGUCUUGCAUUUUAUGGUUCUACAACGAUCUUCCCAACCUCCCAUCAUCUUAGCCGAAGCUUGUUCUGCCUCUGCAAGUGGAUACUUGGAGUCGAUUACUGUCGUCAACUUUUCUUCUUUAACGACUUUGUCAUCGUCUUACCAUCAGGUUCCUUGUUCAAAGAGGUUCUCUUUACAUGUUAAGGAUGUGAUUUUACUUGUGACACAGUUUAUACUUGCACCCUGAUGGGCUCGUCAACAUUUUAUCAUCUUCUGUAGUAUAGUCUAGAACUUCAUCUGCACCCAAACUAUUUACAAGAUCGAUGUUUCGAGCUCCA
RNA transcript from Papaver somniferum (opium poppy), 782 nucleotides. It is a transcript of the gene named wound-induced basic protein-like, with no coding region annotated. Lineage: Eukaryota; Viridiplantae; Streptophyta; Magnoliopsida; Ranunculales; Papaveraceae. The record is from RefSeq and is a predicted model, not a curated record. The transcript has 3 exons.